RNAcentral lists this antisense RNA (187 nucleotides) under Prochlorococcus marinus str. MIT 9313. Its description in RNAcentral is "Antisense RNA which regulates isiA expression". It matches the Rfam family "Antisense RNA which regulates isiA expression". Lineage: Bacteria; Bacillati; Cyanobacteriota; Cyanophyceae; Synechococcales; Prochlorococcaceae. The record is from Rfam by way of RNAcentral.
CGUAUCCAAAGAUCACGCCUGGAUCAAGUGUGGGGCUGGUGAUUAAUCUCACGUCGCCACCACCUGGAGCCCAGGUGUCAUAGAUGCCGCCAAAGAAGCAGGCCUUGAGGAUCAGAGCAAGAGCUCCCCAGCCUAGAAAAAUCAGGUUGUAACCAAGAAUGUUGGUCAUCUGAUUUUUGUCUUUCCA